UCUGUCUCUGUGGUGGAUAGUGGAGUGUUUCCCAUGUGGUAUUGGUGUGCUGGAUAUCCCUUCACUGGUAGCCUGGUAACAUACACUCCCAGGUCUUUCUCUGUCUCUGUGGUGGAUAGUGGAGUGUUUCCCAUGUGGUAUUGGUGUGCUGGAUAUCCCUUCACUGGUAGCCUGGUAACAUACACUCCCAGGUCUUUCUCUGUCUCUGUGGUGGAUAGUGGAGUGUUUCCCAUGUGGUAUUGGUGUGCUGGAUAUCCCUUCACUGGUAGCCUGGUAACAUACACUCCCAGGUCUUUCUCUGCCUCUGUGGUGGAUAGUGGAGUGUUUCCCAUGUGGUAUUGGUGUGCUGGAUAUCCCUUCACUGGUAGCCUGGUAACAUACACUCCCAGGUCUUUCUCUGUCUCUGUGGUGGAUAGUGGAGUGUUUCCCAUGUGGUAUUGGUGUGCUGGAUAUCCCUUCACUGGUAGCCUGGUAACAUACACUCCCAGAUCUUUCUCUGCCUCUGUGGUGGAUAGUGGAGUGUUUCCCAUGUGGUAUUGGUGUGCUGGAUAUCCCUUCACUGGUAGCCUGGUAGCAUACACUCCCAGGUCUUUCUCUGCCUCUGUGGUGGAUAGUGGAGUGUUUCCCAUGUGGUAUUGGUGUGCUGGAUAUCCCUUCACUGGUAGCCUGGUAACAUACACUUCCAGGUCUUUCUCUGCCUCUGUGGUGGAUAGUGGAGUGUUUCCCAUGUGGUAUUGGUAUGCAGGACUUUACAUUUUUCUUCACUAAAUUGUAGCAGCCACUUUUUGUUCCAUUCCUGUAGCUUGGUGAUGCCUUCUGGUAGGAAAUCCAGUCAUGGGGUUAGUUCCAUUUUUAGGAUAGUUAAUCAGAAGUGUUGGAUUUCACAGAGUUCAGUCGUCAUAUACCAACUCAAUUGUAAAGUGGGAUGAGACUAUCAACAAACCCAACUAGGCGCCCUUAAAAACAGGUAAAAAAAUGACAACUUAGCCACAGUGUUAUUAAUAAAGACUAAUAUGAUGUUAAAAAAAUCGUACUGGCGGGAAAAGAAAAAGAUCAGAAUAGGUGUUUUUUACCGCUAUUAUUUUUUAUGUACAAUCGUCACUCAAAUAGUUCGGUUUUAGUUUUAUACGAAUUGUCACGGAAGAUCUUUUAGGAUUUUUAAAUUUCCUGGUCAUCGGAAAAUUUAAAAAUCCAAAAAAAUCUUCUUAGAAAAUCCACAUAAAACCAAAACCAAACUGCUGGAAACCGUACUAUUUGAGGGAUGACUGUAUUGUUAUUAUUAAGCAGGGCAGUUAGUAGACGAGAUAAAUAACAAGAAACAACAAGA
Eriocheir sinensis (Chinese mitten crab) is the source of this 1327-nucleotide long non-coding RNA. RefSeq lists it as uncharacterized. The transcript has 4 exons. The record is from RefSeq and is a predicted model, not a curated record. Lineage: Eukaryota; Metazoa; Arthropoda; Malacostraca; Decapoda; Varunidae.